Molecule: ribosomal RNA, 253 nt
Filed under: uncultured bacterium
Lineage: Bacteria
Description: partial 16S ribosomal RNA
Rfam family: Bacterial small subunit ribosomal RNA
Source: RNAcentral
UACGGAGGGAGCUAGCGUUGUUCGGAAUUACUGGGCGUAAAGCGCGCGUAGGCGGCUUUGUAAGUUAGAGGUGAAAGCCCGGGGCUCAACCCCGGAAUUGCCUUUGAGACUGCAUCGCUAGAAUUGUGGAGAGGUAAGUGGAAUUCCGAGUGUAGAGGUGAAAUUCGUAGAUAUUCGGAAGAACACCAGUGGCGAAGGCGACUUACUGGACACAUAUUGACGCUGAGGUGCGAAAGCGUGGGGAGCAAACAGG